CCUAAUGUAAACUUAGCCUUUUUAAAUCUGGUAAAUGAGAGCACAAAAGAAGAUUUACUUGAUCCUUCGAUUAAUAUCGGAACAUGUAGUCUCCAUACCCUUCGUCGUUCUUUCCAAAUUGGGGAAAAGGCUACAGACUGGAAUAUUAAGAAGCUACUUUUUUCUCUGUAUAAAAUAUUUGAUUAGUCUCCUUCUCGACAAGCUGACUAUGAAUGUUUAACAGCUGCUACUUUUUCCGAUUACCCUCUUAAAUUUUGUGCACACAGACGGAUUGAAAAUAGUAAUGUUUCCAAACGUGCCCAAAUGAUUUAUCCUAUGAUAAUUGAAGUUGUAAAGUUUUGGAAAGGCUUACCAAAAUCGAAGCAACCUGGAACGGAAAGCCUGGAAAAAACACCAGUUUUGAUUGUCUUGCUAAAGCUGUGGAAUAUGUCACUAUACCAAUGAAACUUAGACUUUUUAAGGAAAUUGCAACAUCAUUAAAUGAUUUCCUAUUAAGAGAGGGUUGGCAUAAGUAAAGCAAGCCCUAAAAUUAAUAAGAUUGUAUCACGAGAAAAAGUAGUAAAAGUGAAGAAAUCCUUUUAAUUGAAAAUUUAGAGAUUGUAUCACGAGAAGAAGUGGUUGUAGUUCAUUUAGAAACAGAUUGUAUCACGAGAAGAAGUGGAAAAAUAUUUCUGUAUUAUAAGAUAAAGGUUGAAAUACUUUGAAACAGCUGCUGAUAGCGAUGAAAAAUUGUCCAUGCCACCAGCUAAAAAGUUAGCAGUUUGUAAUACAAGUGACACUGAGGAGACAUAUCCAUCAGUUUCCCCAAUAUUGAAGAAAUCUUUUAAUUCCCAAAAUAUUUUACAACCCACAACUGUUCGAUAUAUUGAGCCAUUUAGUUCGAAUCGUUCUCUACUGAUAUUUUCGUCUUCUGAUCAGAGCUUGGCAACUGUUAUGGCUGCUUUAGGCACCCGAUUUCCUGGUAAAGGAUUACCUUGAUGGGUUAUUUGUUUGAAGGUUGAAUUAAAUGUACUCUUUAAUAUAUUUUUGAAUGUAAUUAUACUAUUUUUUUCUUAGUUUUUUGCGUUAACUUAAAUAAAAAGCUAAUCUAUUUAAUUGGUAUUUAUUAAAGUCAAAAUUAUUUUUUUAUUGCAGCAUUUGAGAAGAAAAGUUUAGAGUUGCUUGACAGUAUUCAAUAUGAUUUGAAAAAGUUAAACACUUGCCUAAUCAAUUUAGAAAAAGGUUUAGUGUUUCCUUCUGUUAGCAAUCAGAGCAUAGCAGGACCAUCCCCAUCAGUUAAAUGGAAUUAUUUGCCUGUUAAAGAGGAAAAAGAACUUCUAGAUUUUAAUUAUGAUACGGAAAAGAAUGCUUUAUAUACAGUAUAUUUAUUAAAUUGUGUUGUGGUUUUAACCAUUUAUGCCCAGUUAACUCAUUUAGUAGAGCAAUCAGCCUACUAAUCAUAGGAAGCCUCACAUUAGAUACUUGAGAUUGCAUUCACCCCGAUUUUUUUACUGUUGUAAAGACAACCUAUACUAGUGAAUGAAUAAUCUGAUACUAUAGUAUCAGAUUUUUUACACAAUAUAUUGUGUAAUUAUUGGUAGGGGUAUGAGAAGCUCAUAAACCUGUAUAAAAUUUUGUGUGGUAUUCUUCUUAGUGUUUUUAUCACUUUAUAAAACAUUUAUGUCAAUAAGUCUUGAUCACCAAAACAGGUUGACCUCAGGGAUUGCAUCUAUUUAUAACAAAUUGCUUUUUCUCCGUGUCAUCUUUGAAUAUCUCAUUAUAGAUAAUGAAGUUGUAACAUUAUGGAAACCUGUUCGAAAUACACACAUUUAUAGAACCAUUAAACUUUUAUUACAACCAAUUAUAUAUUUUUGAAUAUAAUAAUAAACAAACUCGAUUUUUUUUUGUUUGUUUUUGUUUUAGAUGAACUUCCUUGCAUCGGUUGGAGGCGACGAUUACAAGCAACUUACCACGGCUAUCUUAAAACAAGUAAUGGCUAAAAAAGUAUGCUUGUUAUACUUUAUGUAUGGCAGGAAACAAAAGAAAUCAUUUUCGCCUCUUACAAGGUGCAAGGUGGUUAUAGUUGCCAUAAAAAAAAUUUGAAAACGCUAAUGACAAAAGCAUUAAAGAAAGAAUCGGCAGCUUUCUGGCAACGGCCAUUGAUAGAGAAGGCGGAAGAAAGAAUAGAACCGCAAUUGAGCAAAGCCCACUAUUGAGCGAUGAAAAUGAAUGUCGCCAAGAUAAUGAAAAUCAAUGCCCACUAUCUGAUAGUGAGAGUGUAACGCUGUAAUAUAUAUAUAUAUAUAUAUAUAUAUAUAUAUAUA
Hydra vulgaris (swiftwater hydra) is the source of this 2303-nucleotide long non-coding RNA. RefSeq lists it as uncharacterized. Lineage: Eukaryota; Metazoa; Cnidaria; Hydrozoa; Anthoathecata; Hydridae. The record is from RefSeq and is a predicted model, not a curated record.